RNAcentral lists this long non-coding RNA (214 nucleotides) under Musa acuminata (dwarf banana). RNAcentral's name for it is "long non-coding RNA (MACU_LNC007230)". Lineage: Eukaryota; Viridiplantae; Streptophyta; Magnoliopsida; Zingiberales; Musaceae. The record is from RNAcentral.
AAGCAUAUCCUUGUUUUCUAUGCCAAAUCCAUGCAUCAUUGAUGAAAACAAAAAACUAAAAAAUCAUCAUAAAAAAAUCAUCAAGAUCAAUAAGCCAUAAAUCAUAAAAAUCAUCAUACAUAACUUCAAAAUAUAAACUCAUUAAUCAUGAGCAUAUUCAAUCAAAAUAAUUUUGUUUCAGCUAAUGAGCUUUGUGAAGUUUGUUAGAUCUCCG